RNAcentral lists this ribosomal RNA (496 nucleotides) under uncultured bacterium. RNAcentral describes it as "partial 16S ribosomal RNA". It matches the Rfam family "Bacterial small subunit ribosomal RNA", at positions 28 to 506 of the family's 1533-position model. The record is from RNAcentral.
GAUGAACGCUGGCGGCGUGCCUAAUACAUGCAAGUCGAGCGAACGGACGAGAAGCUUGCUUCUCUGAUGUUAGCGGCGGACGGGUGAGUAACACGUGGAUAACCUACCUAUAAGACUGGGAUAACUUCGGGAAACCGGAGCUAAUACCGGAUAAUAUUUUGAACCGCAUGGUUCAAAAGUGAAAGACGGUCUUGCUGUCACUUAUAGAUGGAUCCGCGCUGCAUUAGCUAGUUGGUAAGGUAACGGCUUACCAAGGCAACGAUGCAUAGCCGACCUGAGAGGGUGAUCGGCCACACUGGAACUGAGACACGGCCCAGACUCCUACGGGAGGCAGCAGUAGGGAAUCUUCCGCAAUGGGCGAAAGCCUGACGGAGCAACGCCGCGUGAGUGAUGAAGGUCUUCGGAUCGUAAAACUCUGUUAUUAGGGAAGAACAUAUGUGUAAGUAACUGUGCACAUCUUGACGGUACCUAAUCAGAAGGCCACGGCUAACUACGU